This 270-nucleotide ribosomal RNA is filed under the name uncultured organism. RNAcentral describes it as "16S ribosomal RNA". It matches the Rfam family "Bacterial small subunit ribosomal RNA", at positions 1214 to 1481 of the family's 1533-position model. The record is from RNAcentral.
CUACACACGUACUACAAUGGGGAGGACAAAGGGCAGCGAACUCGCAAGAGCCAGCUAAUCCCGGAAACCUACCCUCAGUUCAGAUUGCUCUCUGCAACUCGAGAGCAUGAAGGCGGAAUCGCUAGUAAUCGCAGGUCAGCAUACUGCGGUGAAUACGUUCCCGGGCCUUGUACACACCGCCCGUCACACCAUGGAAGUUGGCCAUGCCCGAAGUCAUUACUCUAACCCUUCUGGGAGGAGGAUGCCGAAGGCAGGGCUGAUGACUGGGGU